UUUUCUGAGGAUUUGAUCCUGGUCCAGGAUGAACGCUGGCGGUGUGGAUAAGGCAUGCAAGUCGUGCGGAACUAAUUUUGAAGAAGUUGAGAUUAUAUCAAAGCGACGGAUUUAUUAGUUUAGCGGCGAACGAGUUAGUAACACCCUAGUCACGUACCCCGAAGUCAGAAAUAGUCCGCCGAAAGGCGGGGUAAUAACUGAUAGUCCCGCAAGGGUAAAGCCGCAAGGCGCUUUGGGAUCGGCUUAGGUCCGAUCAGCUAGUUGGUAAGGUAACGGCUUACCAAGGCUAUGACCGGUAGGGGAGGUGAGAGCCUGACCCCCAACGACGAGACUGAGACACGGCUCGUACUCCUACGGGAGGCAGCAGUCGAGAAUAUUCG
RNAcentral lists this ribosomal RNA (380 nucleotides) under Candidatus Liptonbacteria bacterium. RNAcentral describes it as "bacterial SSU rRNA". It matches the Rfam family "Bacterial small subunit ribosomal RNA", at positions 1 to 367 of the family's 1533-position model. The record is from RNAcentral. Lineage: Bacteria; Candidatus Liptoniibacteriota.